UUUUUUAUAAUAUAGUAGAAACAUUGUCACAUGCAAAUCAAAAUUUAAACUAAUUAAAAAUAACACAGAAGUACGUAGAAGUAACAUAGAAGUACAUAGAAUUAUUUUUAGCUUUAUUGUUACACAUAAGGUUAGGAUCCUUCCAUUUUUUUUAAAAAAAUAAAUUAGGAGCUCUACUACUAUAGUUUUGUGUGUAUAAAUCACAUAAAUGUUACAUGGUUUUAUAAAAAUGUGUUAUAAUACACACCAAACUAGCUAUAUAGUAAUAGAACUCUCUACUUCUUUUUAAAAAUGGAAAGGAUUCUUAUUUUCACUUAAGGGCAUGCAGUGACACAUUUCCAUAUAACAUUGUGGCUUUUUAGGAUCGAUACAAGGAUCAUCUGUACAAUCAUCGUUGGUCACGCAGGGGACAAAACCUAUAUGUCAUAUAAGAAUAAAUGAAUGUUAAUUGCUAAAAGAGGAUAUAAGAGUUUAUAUAUAAUAAUAAAGAAGAAACAAUAAAAUGUGUAUUAAAAAGGACUUACUAUGGCUGGUUACAACAAGAAUUAGGGAAACCAAGAUGAUCAAAGCAUAAACUAUUUUUAGAAUCUUAACCAUAUUUUCUUUCUUUAAUUUGUAUGUAACAAACAAACCAUUAUUUGAUCACUUUUUAUAAGUAAAAUACGGCAUGCUUUGUUUUCCGG
Molecule: long non-coding RNA, 683 nt
Filed under: Trifolium pratense (red clover)
Lineage: Eukaryota; Viridiplantae; Streptophyta; Magnoliopsida; Fabales; Fabaceae
Description: long non-coding RNA (TPRA_LNC010370)
Source: RNAcentral